Molecule: ribosomal RNA, 468 nt
Filed under: uncultured bacterium
Lineage: Bacteria
Description: partial 16S ribosomal RNA
Rfam family: Bacterial small subunit ribosomal RNA
Source: RNAcentral
GACGAACGCUGGCGGCGUGCUUAACACAUGCAAGUCGAACGGAAAGGCCCUGCUUUUGUGGGGUGCUCGAGUGGCGAACGGGUGAGUAACACGUGAGUAACCUGCCCUUGACUUUGGGAUAACUUCAGGAAACUGGGGCUAAUACCGGAUAGGAGCUCCUGCUGCAUGGUGGGGGUUGGAAAGUUUCGGCGGUUGGGGAUGGACUCGCGGCUUAUCAGCUUGUUGGUGGGGUAGUGGCUUACCAAGGCUUUGACGGGUAGCCGGCCUGAGAGGGUGACCGGCGACAUUGGGACUGCGAUACGGCCCAGACUCCUACGGGCGGCAGCAGUGGGGAAUAUUGCACAAUGGGCGGAAGCCUGAUGCAGCAACGCCGCGUGCGGGAUGACGGCCUUCGGGUUGUAAACCGCUUUCGCAUGUGACGAAGCGUGAGUGACGGUAAUGGGUAAAGAAGCACCGGCUAACUACGUG